ACACAUGCAAGUCGAACGGAGUUAUUUUGGCAGAAGCCUUCGGGUGGACGCUGAUAUAACUUAGUGGCGAACGGGUGAGUAACACGUGAGCAACCUGCCCUUCAGAGGGGGACAACAGUUGGAAACGACUGCUAAUACCGCAUAAGACCACGGUGUGGCAUCACACAGAGGUCAAAGGAGAAAUCCGCUGAAGGAUGGGCUCGCGUCCAAUUAGCUAGAUGGUGAGGUAACGGCCCACCAUGGCGACGAUUGGUAGCCGGACUGAGAGGUUGAUCGGCCACAUUGGGACUGAGACACGGCCCAGACUCCUACGGGAGGCAGCAGUGGGGAAUAUUGCACAAUGGAGGAAACUCUGAUGCAGCGACGCCGCGUGAGGGAAGAAGGUCUUCGGAUUGUAAACCUCUGUUGUCAGGGACGAUAAUGACGGUACCUGACGAGGAAGCCACGGCUAACUACGUGCCAGCAGCCGCGGUAAAACGUAGGUGGCAAGCGUUGUCCGGAAUUACUGGGUGUAAAGGGAGCGCAGGCGGGAGAGCAAGUUGGAAGUGAAAUCUGUGGGCUCAACUCACAAAUUGCUUUCAAAACUGUUUUUCUUGAGUGGUGUAGAGGUAGGCGGAAUUCCCGGUGUAGCGGUGGAAUGCGUAGAUAUCGGGAGGAACACCAGUGGCGAAGGCGGCCUACUGGGCACUAACUGACGCUGAGGCUCGAAAGCAUGGGUAGCAAACAGGAUUAGAUACCCUGGUAGUCCAUGCCGUAAACGAUGGUUACUAGGUGUGGGAGGAUUGACCCCUUCCGUGCCGCAGUUAACACAAUAAGUAAUCCACCUGGGG
Molecule: ribosomal RNA, 830 nt
Filed under: uncultured bacterium
Lineage: Bacteria
Description: bacterial SSU rRNA
Rfam family: Bacterial small subunit ribosomal RNA
Source: RNAcentral